RNAcentral lists this long non-coding RNA (1582 nucleotides) under Panicum hallii. RNAcentral describes it as "long non-coding RNA (PHAL_LNC000104)". Lineage: Eukaryota; Viridiplantae; Streptophyta; Magnoliopsida; Poales; Poaceae. The record is from RNAcentral.
AAUAUUUACACAAAACCCCCUAACUCAGAUCGGGAUUCAUAGUCGCGAUCCAAAUUAGGCGGGUAAAUGAAAAAUAGUAAUUGGAUGGGGUUCAUUCCAAUUUCUACACAUCGGUGGGACGGCGGACGGCAAGGCAGCGCUGCUGCCAGCCGGCGUCAUCGGACGCCUCCGUCCGUCGACAGGGCACGCGCAUCUGCGGCUCCGGCGCCGUUGCCGUCGUCCACACGCGCCGCUGCUCCAGCAUCAAGCCGCCGCCUUCAGUUGGCGGUGGCACCCUCGCCUCGACGGCUCGACGCCACCACGGAGAAGAACGAGAGGAAGACGAGCGCCAGCCAUAAUGCGCUGGCAUUAGUGUUGCUCUCGUCAGUCAUCACCCAUGGAGCACCUUCUCUGAUCUAAUCUCCGAUGGGAACGGUUCAGGCAGGAAAGCCAGAAAAACAGCAGCUUGGCUGAAGCUUUUAAGCAUUCAGAGUUUCAGACUCCAGAGCAAGUCAAAGCAAAUUAGGCUAUACUGAACCUGCCAUCACUGGCGCUCUGAUAUUUUUGUUUGCUCCCAUGAUUUUUUUCCUUCAAAUCAAAGAAGAGCGCUUUGAUACUCAGCAUCUGCUAACUGAACAUAUGCAACAAUGAACUGAACAGUUGCCCUUGCAGAGACUGAAAGACACCAGCUGAUUUAGGUCCCGUUUGGAUCAAAGGAAAAUCAAAGGAUUUUUGUAGGAAUACAAUCCAUAGGAAAGGAAACACGCUGCUACAUUUGGAACGGAGGAAACCGGCGAUCCGUUCCGCAGGAAAGGAAACUACGGGUGUGCAUUUUACAGGAAUCAAAAAAUCCACUCCGAGUCAAAGGAAAGAAAGGCUCGCUCUUUCUCCGUCUCUGUCUCUCACGUUCUCUCUCCGUCUGGGUCUGCUUUUUCUCUUCCUCAUGAAGCUCUCAUCCCCAACCAUGGCUCUACAGAACUAGCUCAUCUGCCUCAAGAUUGGACCUCAAGAUGACGAAUCCACGACCAAGUAGCUCAUCUGCUCAACGGAAUCGCCCUCCUCUGCCUUUUCCCCUUCCAUCGACACUAGAUUGUGGUUCUCAAUCUGGAGGGGAUGAAGUAAUUUCACAAGAAACAGGUAAAGAUCUCAGCUCUCCCUGCCUUAUCUCAGUGUAGGGAGGUAGGAUGGCGGCGGUGAAUCGUGUUUCCAGGCGUCGAGGUGGAGCUGGAGAGGGCUGGCGGGGGUGCCCCUGUGAUGGAGGGCGCUGUACGCGUCAGUGGCACGAUACGAGAGUAUCGCCACUUCUUGCCGCUUGACCGCCGGCGCUGCCCCGGCUCUGGGUCCUCGCUUGCUUCUUCACCCCAGGACCUUUGGCCCUGCCUUGGCCUAGAGCCGGGUCUGCACCCAACCCAAUGCCGGCAAAAGCAGUGUACUCCGUAGCUACAAUGAAAAAUAUUUGCGCAUACUCUCUUUUUAUUUGCACUGUAUCUAUCAGAGUAUCGCAACUUGUAGCGAACCUAUCCAGAGGAAUGGAAGCAUGCACGUUAAUUGUUUGCUUCUGCUAUUUGUCCUUGAGAAACUAAUUGUUGAAAACGACUUGUCC